Molecule: small nuclear RNA, 172 nt
Organism: Oryctolagus cuniculus (rabbit)
Lineage: Eukaryota; Metazoa; Chordata; Mammalia; Lagomorpha; Leporidae
Gene: U2
Rfam family: U2 spliceosomal RNA
About the family: U2 is a small nuclear RNA (snRNA) component of the spliceosome (involved in pre-mRNA splicing). Complementary binding between U2 snRNA (in an area lying towards the 5' end but 3' to hairpin I) and the branchpoint sequence (BPS) of the intron results the bulging out of an unpaired adenosine, on the BPS, which initiates a nucleophilic attack at the intronic 5' splice site, thus starting the first of two transesterification reactions that mediate splicing.
Source: Ensembl
AUCCCUUCUCGGCCUUUUGGCUAAGAUCAAGUGUAGUCUCUGUUCUGUUCUUAGCAGUUUACUAAAUUCCAUGUAACAGUAGGAUGCCCCAAACAUUAUCACCUCAACAUGUGAUCAAGUUUUAAAAUAAUACUAUUUCUAUAUUGUUUUUUUUUCCUCCUCCCGAGCCUUG